GCUCAUCAUGAGCUCAUCACACAGAGUAGAUUAUAUGUCAAAGUUGCGACUCAACGCCUCUUUGAAAAAAGUUCCUAUUCUUGCAACGCAAAGCCAUUACAAUGGCUAAUUUUUCCUAUUUUUGUAAGAAAAAGAGCCUGUAAUUACACCUACAAAGUGAUGUGAAAGUAGUAACUGAGGAUACGUGAGGAUUGCAAACCAGUCUCCCUGGAUAUUUAAAGCAUAUUUAAAGGAGUUGACGGACAAUUUGAUUGAAGACUUUAGCUUCAUGAAACUAGCUGAUUUGAGCGUAACAAAUAAGGUUUUUACUGCGUUGCAACUGGCUCCAGACUGGAAUUUAUAACCAAGACUAAAUAUUCAAGUGCCUAUGUGAAGUACCUACUUAACAACAAGUUGUAUUAAGAUCUUAUGAAGUUAAUACCUACAUAAGAAACUAAAUUGGCAUAUCAUUCUGCUACUGAAUAAUCAGAAAGCAGUUUUUUAGCUAAUAGAAGAGAAGCUUAUGCUUGAUAUUUCAGAACACUAAUAAUGAUUGUGAUGUGAUUUAAUAUAUGAUACUUAAUAAACACAAAAUACAGCAAAAACCAUGUUUCAUUUCAUUAUUUACCUGUUGAUGUUGCACUUGACUAAGAGGUCAUUCAUGAUACUAUUGAUUUAUAAAGGCUUGAUAGG
This is a non-coding RNA of Plutella xylostella (diamondback moth), 672 nucleotides long. The record is from RefSeq and is a predicted model, not a curated record. NCBI's taxonomy places the organism in Eukaryota, Metazoa, Arthropoda, Insecta, Lepidoptera, Plutellidae.